This 7126-nucleotide long non-coding RNA is filed under the name Homo sapiens (human). RNAcentral's name for it is "HSALNT0312189". The record is from RNAcentral. Lineage: Eukaryota; Metazoa; Chordata; Mammalia; Primates; Hominidae.
ACUUGGUAGACUGGUUUUAAGCAUGGAAGGAUUUAAAUAGAUCAAACCGGCUUCUCUGUUGAGUGAGAAUUGCAGGAAGCCUUAUUCAGAGGUAAGAGAUGCCGGUGGUUUGGGCAAGGGUGAUGUUGGAGAAAGGUGGGUGGAUUUUAGAGUAAAAUUAUCUCGUGAAUUAAAAUUAUCUAGAAAUGAUGAUGGAUUUGGUUAAGGAAUGAGGGGAAGGUAAGGAGUAAUUUCAAAGGUAAUAAUAAUAGCUAAUAUGGUGCCAGGCAUCAUUCUAAGUCUUUACAUAUAUUAGCUUUACAUAUAUUAGCUCAUUUAAUCCAUGAAGGACAAUGUAUGAUUUUCCUCACUUUAUAAAGGAGUAACUUGAGGCACAAAAAGUUUAAAUACCUUGUCCAAGGUUCCAUAGCACACAGUCUGAGUUGAGAUGUGAACACAGAGCCUGAGGUUCAAGUCCUUUUUCUAAACCAGUGAUUCUCAAAGGAGACAUUGUUGGUUGUCACAGCUGGGGCUGGAGUGCUACUGAUAUCUAGGGAUAGAGGACAGAGAUGCUGCUAAAUAUCCUACAAUGCACAAGAUAGUCCCCACGACAAGAAAUUACCCAGCCCAAAAUGUCAGUAGUGCCCAGGUUGAGAAACCCUGUUGCAAAUUGCUACAUUAUAUUAAUACUACCUACUGAGGGUAGCCGGUAGGCUUCUUAGACAACUGGUUUACCAAUACUGGGCGAAGACCAGUUUGAGGGAGACUGAGUUGCUUUCUGGACACAUCCAGUUGAGGUCCUUUAAGGCACCUAGGAAGAUAGGGCAAGUAAACUGCUGGAUGCUCGCUUGGCUUUGUAAUUCAGAGAGGUCUGGCACUGCUUGGAGUAGGUUUCUAUUCCUGGCAACUGCAUACACCAAAAUAUCUCCUGUAUUUUUAUAGUGUAUUUGUUUGUUUGUUUAUACCCCCACCCUCUUCCAGAAAGGAUGCAAAGCUGCUUAGGAGGAUAAGGAACACGCAAGAGUCUGAUGUAAGUUAAAAGUAGGACAAAGGAACACAUUCACAUAAGGGUGGAGACAUAGGAUGGAGCCAGCAAUGAGGCUAAAAGGAACCCUAAUCCCAUUCCUGGCAGCUGCAGGGCUCUUCUUACAAUCUUACUGGACUCCUUUAUCCCAGUCUCUGCUGAGAUCUCUGCCUCCUCUCCAGGAGAUGAACCCCAAUCCUCACCUCUUGGCUGCCCUGCAGCUGAGAUGAAAACUGAAUGUGCUUACUGUCUUUUAGGUUCCUGGCACCUAGUGGGAGAACAAUACAUAGUUGUAGAGAGAAACUCCAGGGAUGGGGUUGUGAACAAGACCCAAAGCCUCCCCCAUAGAGCUUCCUUUUGAAUGGGGGAGACAAACCAAAAAGGGGAGCAACCGUUGAUAUGAGCAUUCGUGCUUUGUUUUGCUUAUCAGAUAAUUUAAUAGCUAGUUCCAAGGCGUCUUUCAUGCUAUAAAGAAACAAAAAAGGACCCAAGAAAAAAUGAUGAGGAGAAGUAUGGUGGUUGGGGAAGCCUCUGUGAGAAGGUGAUAUGCAAGCUGAGACCUAGAAGAGGAGAAGGGACAGAGUUUCAUAGAGUCGGGUGAAGGCAUUCCAACCAGGAAACAGCGUGGACAGAUAGCCCUGGAUGGGAAACAACUAUGGUCUUUGAGAAACCGGGAAGAGGCCAGCAGGCCUGAAGCAGGAUGAGUGAAGAGAGAGGGUGGGAAAACAGCCAGGACCUUGCAGGCAUAGGAAAGAGUUUGGGUUUUAUUUCAAGUGCAGUAAGGAGCUAUGGAAGGACUACGUGGCAGAGAUCAACAAUUGUCCACAAGUAUCCAUUCUCCCCUUUGUCCUGAUUCAUAAAAUCCACAAGGUUGAACUGGGCAUGUGGCUGCCUGGAAUAAGAACAACUUUUCCCAGCCUCUUUUGCAGAUGUGGUCAUGUGACUUAAGCUCUGGCUGCUAGAAUCCAAGCUGGGGUGGUGUAUGCAACUUCUGAGUAGUAUCUUUGAAAGGGGGAUGUGUGUCCCCACUCCUCCUUGCUGCUAUGUGGGGUAUAGAUUAAAUGGCUGGAACCCCAGCACCAUCUCAGACUCUGAAGUGACCUUGGAAAUAAAAGCCAGGAUUGGAGAUGCCACAAUGUAGACAGAGCCUGGAUUCCUGACUCCGUUGAACUGCCAUAGUCUCAGGUAGCCAGCUGCCAGAUGCUUCUGGGAGGGAGGGAAAAGCAUCUAUCUUGCUGAAGCCACUGUUAGUGUGCAUUUUCUGUCACAGCUAAACCUAAUUCUAACUGAUAAAGGCUUUCAGGAGGAACCACAUGAUUCCGUUUAUCACAUCAGAAGCUCCCUUAGGCCCUUGUGAGGAGCAGAAGAUUGAAAGGGAGUGAGUACAGAGCAGGGAGAUAGGGGCAGAGGCUGCUGCAAUCAUCCAGGCAAAUGAAUGAACAAAUGAAUGAAUGAAUUGUAACCGGACCCAGGUUCAGUUGCUCUCUGCUUGAAAGCCAAAACUCAAGAAAUGAGACUUGGUGGGAGGAAAAACAGGUUUUUCGGGAAGCCAGCAAACGGAGAAAAUGGUAGACUACCAUCCUAAAAUGCCAUCUUAAGUCAGCACAAAUUUCAGGCUUUUUUUUAUGUUAAGGGCAGGGGAAGAAGAGGGAGUUGGGAUCAAGAUGUGACUGAUGACUGCAGACCUCUGGGUGCCAGUGAGGGCCUGAGGAGUUUGGGAACUUCUUUGUCCUUGGUCAGGUCACAAUGCUCCUGUAAAUCUUUAACAAAACACAGUUGUUUACAUACUUUCCCUUUAACCCCAGAGUUAUUUUUUAAAACUACAUAAUUGCUGUUUUUGUGUAUUAUCUAUAUGGAUCUUUAACAAAACAUGAUUGUUUACAUACUUUCCCUAUAACCCCAGAGUUGGCUUUUAAAACUACAUGAUUGCUGUUUUUGUGUAUUAUCUCAGUGCUCUAAAAUUAUCCUAGCCUACACGCGGGCAUGGGUUAAAGCCCCUUACACAAAUACGGUGAGUGUUACAUUCUUUUGCUGUUUCGCUGUUGCUGAAUGAAUGACUGAAUGAAAGCAUCUCCCAAGGCUGCCUGCUUGCUUACCUUCUCACAUGAUGCUUCUUUGCCUCUCUGUUCCUUAAGGAGCUUUCCCUCCCUUCUUUCUUGCCCCACAGUCCCCAAACUCACCAGUGUGGGCAGAAGGAGAAAAGGAAUGUUCUAUCCAGCCCCAUACCCCAGCACCUGCUGGGCAACUUUGUCUUCCCUUCUGCAAAAGAAAAGAAGUCCCCUCAAACACAGGAGAGGAUGGGAAAAGGCAUCUCUCUAAGCAGUAACCCUGGCAGGGCCCUUCAGGAUUCCCAAAUUCCCAAUUUAUAGACAGGGAAACUGAUCCCUAGAGAAGGGAAGGGACUUGCCCAUGUCCACACAGCAUGUUAGUGGGACACAUCAUGAAACAUAAAAGCAGGAAGAGGGUCUAGAAACCAUCUAGCCCUACCCCCUCAUUUAGAGAAAGGAAAACCGAGGCCCAGAGAGGGAGAGUUAGUGACAGAGCCACAACAAGAACUCAGAAGAGGGUCAGCUGGUGUGCAACCAGCUCAGUGACACAAAAGCCUGUGCUAGGGAUUUAAUGUUCUACUGUCGUGUCUUGAAAUUCUUCAUAUCUUAUCUGUAAAUGUGUAGUUUGUAAAUGAAGUCUGUGAGAUAACACAGCAGGCACCCAGGCCAACAGCCUCAGUUCAAGUGCAGUCCGGCCCCUCCCUCACCAGGUGGGUUCUCAGUGCCAGCUUCCCCAACCCCCUGCUAUCUCCUCCUCACAUCCCUUCUUCUCUCUCUUCCCCCCAACAGCUGCCAGUCUGCUAUCUGCAGGGCACUGGCACGGGAGGCUGAGCAUGCACAUCCCACAGCAUUUGGGUAGGACACGACUGCAGCCAUGCCUGCCCUAGAGGUUGAUGACAUCGUGGUGCCUUCAAGGGGGGAAACUGGCAGGGCAAGCCUUUCCCCUAUGCUAGAGCCUCUGACAUGGAGGUUGCAAGAUGUGGGGGUACCUGUCCACCAUGGAUUGGGGUGAAGGGCCUGUGGGAAAGGAGGAUGCCUGGCUUCCCUUCUCCGGGUCCUCUUGCCUCAGUGUAGGGGACCUGGCAGCAGAUGGGCACUGGUGGGCCACACUGCAGGGGAAGGCUCCUGGGUGCCUUGAGGGCCUCCGUGCUCCUCUCCAGUAGCUCCAUGCCCAAGGUAGCAUAGCAUUAAAUAGCAAAUACACAGCACAAGAGGGGCCACAGAAGUGGGGUGGGGCUUUAUGUUUGGGUACCUCUCUCCUGCCUGUGGAACAAAAGGCUUGUGUUUGCAAUGUGCCCUGGGCUGUCACAUUAGGUAGCUGUCCUGACUCAGGACUUCUGUUGCUCUGGCCACCAGCCCCCAGCACUCAGCACCGCUGGACAACACCGGUGUAUUCACGUUCAGUCUAGUGCGUUCCCGGCCCUGUGCUGGGCCUCUUUUCCCUGUUUUCUUGUUUGCAGCCUUGUCGUAACUGAGUGAGGUGUGCACUAUUAUUAGACUCAUUUUACAGGUGAGGAAAGACAGCUGCCCAUAGGCUGAGUUAACUUGUCCACGUCCUCCACCAGGGAAGCAAGAGAGCCAAGCUCCCCACCCAGGUGGCCUGGUGCUCCUGUCCUGGCCCGACAUGCGGGCAGUCGGGCCGUCGGGAAAGGAAAGCGCAGUGUAGAGGAGCUGCUUCUCACCGCCUCUCCUCCCCUCCCCACCUUCCCCGGGAACUCAUGCCCCUCCCCUGCACUCCUGCUCCUUGCCGGCUCGCCCUGGGCCGCUCCGAAGGGAGGAGACCACGUGACCCAGGUCACCGGUAACCAGGCAACCGUUCCAAGACACUGCUUUUCAUCCACUCUGGCUUCUACCUUAUUCAAUAUCUGCCAGGCGGGCAAGGCUCCUGGGAGCAUCCCUGAAGCCAUUUCUCUGGGCCAGGAGCCAGCUGUUCCCAAAAUGGCCACGAUGCCUCAGGAGGGAGGUUGACACCCUGUGCUCUCAGAAGCAGCUCAGAGCUCAGAGGCAGACCUCUACUCAUGCAAUUCUGCCUUCUGUGCAUGCAAUGGAUUGCUGCCAUCUCCAAUCAGCCACAAUGGGAGGCCACCUGCUAGACAUGGAAGAGCCACCGGAUGGAAGAAGCCUGGGUCUCUGAAAUACUGCUUGGAGUAGACUACUCUGCCUGCAAACUAGGAGCACUGAUUUUGGACUUUUUGGGAGGGACUUCUAUGCCCUCUGCAGUUUGCCUCUUCCUCUGCUAUUUUUUCAUGUAUGUGUAUGUUUUUUGCCUGUAUUUGCAAUGCCAGCCAUCAUUUGCCAUGUCUUCUAGCGGCAACCUGCAUUUAGCCCAGAUCUGCUGUGAUUAUUCCUUUUCACAAACCACAAUGACUCUGGAAAACCUGGCUGUAAACACCAGCACUGCCACCAGCUAAGGAUCUGUGAUCAGGAGUGCCAUCUCACGGUAACAGGAAGACAAAAGUGAAACCGGGCUGAUGCGAAUCACUGGGAAACUGGCUUUGGCACCUCCAGAGAAUGAACUGUUUCAUAGCCUAGCUGACCAUCCAUGAAAAUGGCUGCCUGGAGAGGCAGUGAUCAGCCCAUCCCUGCAGGGUGAAGAUAAGCUUGUGCAGGCCACUGGCUAACACAGUUCAUCCCAUGCCUCCUACAUACCAAGCACUGUGCCAGGCACUUUUCACGUCUGGCAUCCUCAGAAUCCUCCAAAAGGAGAGGUUCGUGGAGGAUAAUGCUGUCAGGCUUGGAAGCAGCAGUAGAGAUCACGUUGCCCAGCUCUUGGCAUCAUUGGUUCCCAAAGCUCUGAAUCCCCUGGAGAGCUUUUGUAAAAGGUCGGAUUCAGACAAUCCGGUGGAGCACUCUGAAAUUUAGAGGAAGUGGUCAAAUAGAAUUUUCUGGAAUUAUGGAAAUCUUCUAUUCUGUGCAUCUAGUAUAGUAGAAUCUAGUCACAUGUGGCUUUUGAGAACUGGAAAUAUGGCUAAUGCAACAGAGAAAGUGAAUUUUUACUUUUGAUUCAUUUAAAUAUAAAUGGUCACAUAUGACAUCACUGCCAUAUUGGACAUUGCAGUUCUGGAAGAUGGCAGAUGCAGCCCUCAGAAGAAUUAUCAGCCUGAAUGUCUGGGCGGAGCAGAGCACUACCUUCCCACUCACUCUUCCCCUCCUCUCGCCCCCUCCCCUGCCUCACUUGCAUCAGAUUAUGAUGUGAGCAAAAGCAGGAAACAGCUCUUUUGAUAGGCCUGUGAGACUUGCUGUUCGUUGGAGUAGCUAGGCUGCUCUGACUCAUACAGACCCAAAUCCUGGCAACCACUUUUAUGAAGAAAUGACAAUUCAGUCUACUACUUGUCCAUUUUACAUGCCCAAGGAAUGUGAGGGGCCUCUGCUUGGAUCUAGUUUUCAACCUAGUCUAUGGCAUUGAUUAUCCUUUUAAAAGACAAAAGAGGUGACUUCACGGGCACUUAACAUCUUGGCCAUACUGACCCCAGUUGCACGCUACGUAGGAAGUUUUAGUCCAUUUAAACUGAAGUUCCAAUUUUUUUUUUAACAACUAUUUAAAAAUUGUACAUGUCCCAUACAUGACAGAGAAAGGGUUGUCUGGUUGGAUGAUUUUUGGCUUGCAAAAAGAGAACACAAAAGAAAAGCAUACGUUUUAAUACUCAAGAGACCAAAUUUUCUGCUGAAGAGGAAAUGAACUACAUAUCCAGAAGGGUCCUACCAAGAGGCCAAACAGACUGUGUUCUCUUGGGGGAGUUCUCAGUGGUGAUGAGAACACCACUUUUUUUUUUUUUUUAGUCAUUUUCAAGGUGAGAUAUUGACUUGCUGCUGGAGCAGGACAACUGGUCUCUCUUUCAUUGCUAGCAGCAGAGUAAGGGUCUUGCAAGUUUCAGGCAGCAGCAGAGAAAGGGUCUUGCAAGUUUCAGUCCAAAGCAAGAAGAGCUAGGAUUGCACCAGCUGUCUCACCUACUCUGUGCUCACCUGUUUCUGGAUGAAGCACGGUGACAUCUGUUUUAUUGUAAAGAGAACCAACUUUGGAAUCAAAUGGAACCUGUAUUAAAAUCCUGAAUCCGUCACUAGCUUGGACAAGUCA